This 3452-nucleotide unclassified non-coding RNA is filed under the name Haliotis rufescens (red abalone). Its description in RNAcentral is "transient receptor potential cation channel subfamily M member 4-like, transcript variant X1". The record is from RNAcentral. Lineage: Eukaryota; Metazoa; Mollusca; Gastropoda; Lepetellida; Haliotidae.
AAAUUUAUUUAUAGCCUAAGGGAAAGCCCAGACCUCUUGCUAAACUCCAUACACCAACACGGAAAUAUCAGUGAGCAAAUCCGUGUUACUUUGCCGAAAUUAUGCGAUUACAGUGACUUUCUGCCGGGAUGAGUGAAUGUGACAGUUUAAUGGAGGCCCCAGACAAGAAUACAAGUGACAGCUUCGAUGCUGGGACCCUGCAGAUGGAGGGAGAGGACGAGGACGAGGCUGAUGGAAUGUUGCAGUACAGACGGAUGCCCUCAACAACAGACACCCUGGAGGCUGAUCCUAGAUGGAGAACUACAUUCAAUGACAUGGCGGGUUGGAUCAAACAGCUGUGUAUACGUGAAUGUGUCCUCUACAGACAGGACUUCAAACAGAGCAACAAUGUGUGUCGAUGUGGCCGCAGUGAAGAUGAACACACAGGAGAUGACUGGGAUGGAAACAAACUCAGUACUUGGCAGAAACAGAAGAGCUUCAUUAAGAAAGAGACUGAUACCUUCGGGAGAAUCUUAUUUGAGGCCGUUGAAGUGCCUUCACUGUUUGUCCGCCUUGACAACAAAACAUCGAGCGAGAAAUUGGCCAAUCUUUUGAGCAAGGACAUCCUUGAAGUGAGCAGUAAUGACCUGGUACUGCACUUCGUGGACUUUGAUGAAGCUGAACCCCGUGUUGAUGCUGCCAUUGUUGCUAAACUCCAGGAGAAGCUCAAGGAUGGUCUCAAAGUCCUGGCUGACAAGACACAGCUGCUGCUGACAUCACAUGGGCUACAGACUGGUACGUCCAGCCAUCUUCAUCACGCUCUCAGUCAGCUCCAGAGUCAGACCAGUUUCCGUGUUGGAGUUGUCACUAUGGCCUGUCCCUCCUGGGGCAGUGUGGAUAAGAAGGAUCUCUUCAGCGACUAUGUGAUGGACAGGGAUAUAAAGCCAGGCGCCAGGUCUCAGACAGAGGUUCUGGGGAGGAACCUGUCCCCAUACUUCAGCCACUACCUGUUUGCCGAUGACGGCACCUACCACGUCAACAUGAAACAUCUACAUCAUUUCAGAGAAAUGCUUGAGAAGGCAUUUGAGAAGGCAUUUGAAGGAACUCAUGGUGAGGGUCCCCCGACGGUGUUGGUGUUGAUGAAUGGUGGGUCCAUGGCACUGGCACAUGUGCUCAAGGCUCUACAGAGGCAGAUACCAGUUGUCAUUGUCAAGGGGUCUGGAGGCUGUGCUGACAAGAUUGCAUCCGUGUAUCUCAGAAAAAAACCCAAUUGUAGCAAGACUUUCGACACAACUGGCAAAGUCAGCUUCAAGUACCAUCUGAACGUGGAGAUGGAUGUUAAUGAUGAUGACGAUGAUGAGAUGAAGAUCAGAGACAUACUCAACCACUUUGAGCUGCUUACUGUCUUUGACCCACAACCCCAGACACUGGGGCUGCACAUGGUUGUUGUGUGGGCUUUGCUCAAAGCUAAGCAGGAGAGCAAGCUACACAAACUACUGGAGUCCUUCGUUGCAAACAGCAGUGGGAACAUCUGGACUGGGAACACUCACAACAUGGAGAAUCCACAGGAAAGAACACAGAUCAACCCUCACACCUACUUCCUGUUGGAGACGAUGUUCAACAGCAGCGCUGCCGUGGUGGAGGCCAUCUUGAAGGGCCUUGGCAACCUGAACCAACAUUUCACCAUGGACAACAUCAUACAACUGUACAGCAGGUUUGAACAUCUGGGGCCCUGCAGAAAGUAUUUGAAAGCAGCCAAAGAAAGAAAAUCUUGUUGCACUGAUUGCCAUGCGUUAAAUACUGUAUCAGAUGUGCGAACUGCUCUUCAAGAUAUUCUGGGUACCAGGUACCCACUCACCUGUACAGGCAAACAGUGUCAGUGUCAGGCAGUUGUCACCACCUCAGAUAUGAACACAGUUUUCACAGAGCCGCAAGACUUCCGGUCAUGUCUGCCCCCGAUUCAAGAGAUGUUCCUGUGGGCACUUCUGACCAACAAGCAGAAGCUUGCUAUGAUGUUGUGGAAGUGGAGUGAGGACAAAAUAGCAACUGCUCUGGUUGGGGAGGCAGUACUGCGGGAACUUGCAAAGAAGGAAGACAACUUGGACACUGAAACAGUGUUACACCAUAAUGCUGGAAAGUUUGAUGACUUGGCAGUGGAAAUGUUAAAAAAAUGUUACGAGGUGGAUGAAGAGGAAACGUUCAAUUUGCUGCUGCGGAGGACCAAGUGGUGGGGGAACAAGUCCUGUCUGCAGCUGGCGGUACAGCUGAAGAGUCGCGGGUUCAUUUCCCAGCAAGCCUGCAAGUCGCUCCUCGACAAGAUCUGGUUCGGGGGGAUCAAUGCAUCCAAGUCCUCCUUCAAAAAACUGACCUUGAUGCUGGGGCUCAUUCCAGGCGUUUCCCUCAUCCUCUUCCAGAUCAACAAGAAGGACAGAAAAGGGUUCUCCUUGGAUCCAGGCGAGAGGAAGAAACACAAGUUCCUCUGUGAGAAAGCUGUGCUGUUCUACACGGCUCCUGUCGUCAAGUAUACACUCAACCUGGUGAUGUUCAUUUCGUUUCUACUGUUGUUCAGUUAUGUGCUGCUUGUAGAUCUACAGGAGAAGUUCACCCCAUUACAGGGGGUGCUGUGUGCGUGGGUGGCCACCUAUCUAGGGGAGGAAGUCAGACAGGUUUAUGGUGUUCCUGAGCGCUCCUUAAGGAGGAAGUUUGCGGAGUAUUUUCGUCAAGGUUGGAACAUACUGGACCUGAUAACGAUCGUUGGUCUGAUGGUCGGCAUGUUGCUGGUCCUGGUUCCUGGAGAGACUUGCUACCUGAUUCGCAGGGUCAUCCUCAACAUCGACAUCUUCCUGUUCGCCAUGAGACUGCUCCAGAUGUUUGUUGUGAGGAAGAAUAUUGGGCCUAUGCUGACCAUGAUACAGAGGAUGAUUAGUGAUACUGCAUCAUUUAUGACAAUCCUCCUGGUGUUUGUCUUCUCAUACGGAGUUGUCUCCCAUUCGGUUCUGUUUCCACAAGCUUCUGCUGAGUGGCGCCUCCUAUAUGAUGUUCCUCAUCGAGCCUAUUGGCAGAUCUACGGAGAGUUCUUCCUUGAUGACCUUCAGGACACAGUUAUACGUUUAGUAAGGUUCAGGAAGAGGCAAGUAAGAUUUGGGCGUGGCACAGGUGUCAGAUCAUCCACGAGUUUUACACACGGCCCUGGCUGCCGCCACCAUUUAAUGUCAUCCACCUCCUUGUCUGGCUUCUAAUGUCAUCUGUUCGAGCAGUAAGAGCUGUGUGUAGCAAGUGCUGCAGGCAAUCUUGUUGCCACGGACACCAGACGAGGAGUCAUGAAGAUAGUGCAAUUCCACUUCGCAGUGAAGAUGAUUACAAAGGCGUGUCCUUUGGGCGGGUCCAGGCAUGUAGUGUGGAGAUCCUGUGGGAUGUGGACCAGCUGUACAGCUAUAAGAGAUACAAGCUGACAUAUUGGAGGAAGGAGAGUG